This 100-nucleotide non-coding RNA is filed under the name Heyndrickxia ginsengihumi. RNAcentral's name for it is "Bacillus ginsengihumi SAM-I sequence". It matches the Rfam family "SAM riboswitch aptamer (S box leader)". Rfam says of the family: The SAM riboswitch is found upstream of a number of genes which code for proteins involved in methionine or cysteine biosynthesis in Gram-positive bacteria. The SAM riboswitch acts at the level of transcription termination control. The record is from Rfam by way of RNAcentral. Lineage: Bacteria; Bacillati; Bacillota; Bacilli; Caryophanales; Bacillaceae.
UUCUUAUCAAGAGAGAUUGAGGGAUCUGGCCCUACGACGUCUCAGCAACCUGUUUGUUACAAGGUGCUCCAUCCAGCAGAUUCAUUCUGAAAGAUAAGAA